RNAcentral lists this ribosomal RNA (325 nucleotides) under uncultured bacterium. RNAcentral's name for it is "bacterial SSU rRNA". It matches the Rfam family "Bacterial small subunit ribosomal RNA", at positions 28 to 334 of the family's 1533-position model. The record is from RNAcentral.
GAUGAACGCUGGCGGCGUGCUUAACACAUGCAAGUCGAGCGAAGCACUCUGUCUGAUUUCUUCGGAUUGAAGGCGGUUUGACUGAGCGGCGGACGGGUGAGUAACGCGUGGGUAACCUGCCUUACACAGGGGGAUAACAGUUAGAAAUGACUGCUAAUACCGCAUAACCCGCUAGGGCCGCAUGGCCUGGACGGAAAAGAUUUUAUCGGUGUAAGAUGGACCCGCGUCUGAUUAGCUGGUUGGUGAGGUAACGGCUCACCAAGGCGACGAUCAGUAGCCGACCUGAGAGGGUGAUCGGCCACAUUGGGACUGAGACACGGCCCAA